UUCAUUUGGUGUCAAACGCACCUAGUUGUAAACAAAUGGAAAUUGAAAGUAAAAGUGCAACGGCACGGUAUAUUUUUUCUGGCAUCUUUUGUUUUCCAAUAUCUCGAACUUUCACGACAAAAAGGUCAUUUGCCCGAAAUUCAAUAUAUGUAUCAGUGAGAGGGGCUAAAGUUUGUAUGGAAGUCUAUGGGAAAACAUUUGGUGGUGUUUGUCCUAUAGAAAAGCGAUGCAUUCUCAAGAAGGAAGAGAUUAAUGAACCCUACCCUCUUACAAUGAACAACACAUGGAUACUCUCGGGAUGAUCCCUUUGCUUUCAUUAAGAGUUCCAAGAUGUGGGUCUGAUUGACUGGGGUGUGAAAUGUAACAGCCAAUGGUGUACUUAAGCGAUGCAUUCUCAAGAAGGAAGAGAUUAAUGAACCCUACCCUCUUACAAUGAACAACACAUGGAUACUCUCGGGAUGAUCCCUUUGCUUUCAUUAAGAGUUCCAAGAUGUGGGUCUGAUUGACUGGGGUGUGAAAUGUAACAGCCAAUGGUGUACUUAAGGUAAGACUGUCAGUCCCAAUAUUCAAGAGCGAUGCAUUCUCAAGAAGGAAGAGAUUAAUGAACCCUACCCUCUUACAAUGAACAACACAUGGAUACUCUCGGGAUGAUCCCUUUGCUUUCAUUAAGAGUUCCAAGAUGUGGGUCUGAUUGACUGGGGUGUGAAAUGUAACAGCCAAUGGUGUACUUAAGGAAAAACCCCUACAUAAACAAAUACAUGGGCGCAGACAUUUUGGACACCCAAGGUUGUGCGGAGGAGAAAAUGCUAGCUGGCGCGUGAUUGGUCAAUAAGAGAAAAGACUUGUUAUGUAUUUGACAAGUGAAAUAAAGUUGAUAAAAAUCUCA
Saccostrea cuccullata (small rock oyster) is the source of this 886-nucleotide long non-coding RNA. RefSeq lists it as uncharacterized. The transcript has 8 exons. The record is from RefSeq and is a predicted model, not a curated record. Lineage: Eukaryota; Metazoa; Mollusca; Bivalvia; Ostreida; Ostreidae.